RNAcentral lists this long non-coding RNA (214 nucleotides) under Glycine max (soybean). RNAcentral's name for it is "long non-coding RNA (GMAX_LNC002638)". Lineage: Eukaryota; Viridiplantae; Streptophyta; Magnoliopsida; Fabales; Fabaceae. The record is from RNAcentral.
CCCCAUCAACCCACCUUCAUGGGCUUCACACACAAGCAAGUUUCUAGUAGAACACUUGGGCACACAUAAUUUAUUUUCUUUGAAAAGGUAGCCCUCAUAUCUAUAAAAACCAUCUUUAGAAAACUUUUCACAAUUUUUGAAGAUUUCACCAAAGGUGUCAUCUCCUUCAUACAUUUCUUUCAAGCAAUCAAAUCCAAUCAUUUUUGUUUCAAGC